Long non-coding RNA from Oncorhynchus keta (chum salmon), 1375 nucleotides. RefSeq lists it as uncharacterized. NCBI's taxonomy places the organism in Eukaryota, Metazoa, Chordata, Actinopteri, Salmoniformes, Salmonidae. The transcript has 3 exons. The record is from RefSeq and is a predicted model, not a curated record.
GCCGUUUUUAUCUCAAUAUCAAAACAUUUUGAUAUUGAGCUACUGAGUGGCGCAGCGGUCUAAAGCACUGCAUCUCAGUGCUAGAGGUGUCACUACAGACCCUGGUUUGAUUCCAGGCUGUGUCACAACCGCCGUGAUUGGGAGUCCCAUAGGGUGGCGAACAAUUGGCCCAGCAUCGUCCGGGGUAGGCCGUCAUUGUAAAUAAGAAUUUUUAUUAACUGACUUGCCUAGCUAAAUAACACAUUUCUGGGUAACAAUUAAGUACCUCACUGUGAUAGUUUAAUUAAAAUGGUCAAAAAUAAACAAAAAUACCUUCUUAGCAAAAAACUAUUUCUCAAGCAAGAAUUUUGUUCUGAGUGGGUAGGGGAAAACAAGCUUUGGUUUGGAACCCUUUUUAUUGGUCUAUUAACAAAUUUAGCACCUCAUGGUGUCACCAGGCAGGGGGGGCUGCACCCCACAGUUUGGGAACCACUAAUAUAGACCACGUAGAGCCUCGCACAAGACUGACUGAAAUUAAAAGGAUGUGUGCUGGCAAACCUAUUUUUUUGUUCAUGAAUAAUUACAAAAAAAUACUCUGAUCAUAAUCGUAUCCAGAAAAUUGCCAAUAUCCGUUAUGAUUCUCAUUUUGUCCAUAUACUCGGCACAGCCCAAAUUCACAGUUUCAACUACUUCAAGAAGUAAUGUUGCAGUCUAGCUCAGUGCUGCCCCCUCUCGUUGAGUAACUCGAGUUGAAGGCAGACCGGGGUACUGCAGGCUGCAAUUAGCAGCUAAAUUAUAACUUCUUCUGUGUGCAAUUUUAAAAUAAUUGUUUCAAAGACAUACAUCUGGUGUAAUAGAAGCAAUUUUUGGUACCAUGAUUGUCUUUGAUUUUGUUCUAUUUUUAUUCACAGAUAGACCACGAAGAUUGCCAUUUUCCUAUUCGCCAUUUUCCUAUUCGCGGUUGGCCUUGAACUUUAAUGAAAGGGGGAGUCCUUCUCCCCUGUUUAAAGCAGUGUGCGGAAGGGGUGGGGCUUUGUCUGAGAGUUUCAUUUUGCAAGGGUGGAGACUACUUCCUAUUUGGCACAACAAAACUCUCAAUUGUUAACACGUUUGGGCCCAGAAGUAAAUAAGGAAGCUGACCAAAUUUCACAAUAAUUUACUUCUGGGAAACCUGAGAUCACCAAAAGACAAAUCAUCAUCCAGUUGGACACCUGAUGAACUUCCACAAACUUCAGGGUCUGGGAGCAAUCUUCAUCCAGUUGGACAAUUGAUGAGAUCACCAACCAGGAUCUUCAGGGUCUGAGAUGAUAAAUUCAGCUACUGUGCUGCUGGAGCCGACUUAACCGGAUUCCCCUUUAAAACAGGAACCUUAUGGUAAGUCAUUUAGUACAGUCUU